Molecule: small nuclear RNA, 164 nt
Filed under: Aotus nancymaae (Ma's night monkey)
Lineage: Eukaryota; Metazoa; Chordata; Mammalia; Primates; Aotidae
Description: U1 spliceosomal RNA (ENSANAG00000019277.1)
Rfam family: U1 spliceosomal RNA
About the family: U1 is a small nuclear RNA (snRNA) component of the spliceosome (involved in pre-mRNA splicing).
Source: Rfam by way of RNAcentral
AAAAUUACCUUGCAUGGGAGAUACCAUCAUCAUGAAGGUGGUUUUCCCAGGGCGAGGCUCAUCCACUGCACUCUCGAUGUGCUGACCCGUGUGAUUUCCCCAAAUGUGGGAAACUGGACUGCAAAAUUUGUGGUAAUGGGGGGCUGUGUUUGUGCAUUCCCCUG